Molecule: microRNA, 23 nt
Filed under: Ixodes scapularis (black-legged tick)
Lineage: Eukaryota; Metazoa; Arthropoda; Arachnida; Ixodida; Ixodidae
Description: Isc-Mir-96-P2_5p (mature (guide))
Source: RNAcentral
CUUGGCACUGAAAGAAUUCACAG